This 378-nucleotide transfer-messenger RNA is filed under the name Kiloniellaceae bacterium. Its description in RNAcentral is "Alphaproteobacteria transfer-messenger RNA". It matches the Rfam family "Alphaproteobacteria transfer-messenger RNA". Rfam says of the family: Bacterial tmRNA, also known as 10Sa RNA or SsrA, is named for its dual tRNA and mRNA-like properties. The record is from Rfam by way of RNAcentral. Lineage: Bacteria; Pseudomonadati; Pseudomonadota; Alphaproteobacteria; Rhodospirillales; Kiloniellaceae.
GACCUUUUAUCGAGGCCGCAAAGUGCCUAUAUUGGGGGUGCCGGCUUGCCGGCUAUGGUGCUAAACGGGCCUGUGAAAUAAGCGUGACGGACCCGGGGGCAGUACCCGGCGCCUCCACCAAUCCCUCUCCACAUCGUCGGAAUCUGGCUUUGCGGAGGGACCUUAUGGGGGCGAAAUAGGAUCGACGUGCGUGGUAAAGAUGGGUUCGGUGCCCGGCAUGGUACCGCCGUUAUCGGGCCGAAACUAUAGUUGCGAACGACAACUACAGUGAGGCUCGCCUCGCCGCUUAAUAGCGGUCAGGUAAGCCAAAUCUAAGUCCUAGACUCUCACAAGUAUAGGCGGGGUCCGGGGCGCACCUGGCAACAGAAGCGCCCCACU